ACCUUUCCAGGAUCCCAAGGUGGAAAUUCAUUGAGGAAACAUCAGAAUGUCGAAUUGAGUGCUUUGAGCUUAGACUCAUAUACCAUGUAAUCAUAGCCCUGGACUAAUAGGUUUCCCCCCUUGAUUACAGAUAAAUGAGAACAGUGACAAUGGACCAGAUACAAUAACACUUCAAGAUCAACUGCAAACCAUCAAGACCACUAGCUUGAAGAAACCACAAGGGUUGGUGAAAACAAAGAUUUCUUAUGGUACUCCACAAAAACGUAUUGUUCCUAUGCAUCAGAAAAUGACAUUUCCAUCACUGAUGGAAAAAGGCCAAGACAAGGCAGCUCAAAAAUCCGAGGGCAGAUUAGCGAAAACUAAAUCACCAAACAACUAGGGAGACUACGAGGGGUAGCAUCAAGUAGGAAGAAGCCUGCUCAAAUCAGUGCAAUAAAGGAAAAUGCCCAGAUCAUAAUGAGAAAGGAACUUUGUUAGCAAAGAAGGCGUCAUCUCAGUGAAGAAAGCAUCAUUCCAAAAGAGCCAAACAUUCACAGCCUUCAUGCGCCGAAAAGCUGCCAAAGAAGAGAGUAGCAUAAUGCACGUGUAUCAUAAUCGUUUCGAUCAUUAGCCACCCUUUUUCUUUAAACAUUUUUUAUUUGCUUGCUUGAAUUAAUUUAAUAGCAUUAUUGAGGGAAUUCCAAGUUCCUUUCUAAGUUAUUGUAUUUAAGCUGUAACAUUUGUGCCACAAGAAUGAUAUAUGAUGAAUUCAUUUACAAGAUGCAAAGUUUCAAGAUUUUGUUUGAAU
Molecule: long non-coding RNA, 787 nt
Organism: Hibiscus syriacus
Lineage: Eukaryota; Viridiplantae; Streptophyta; Magnoliopsida; Malvales; Malvaceae
Exons: 3
Source: RefSeq, a predicted model, not a curated record